RNAcentral lists this non-coding RNA (21 nucleotides) under Caenorhabditis elegans. The record is from RNAcentral. Lineage: Eukaryota; Metazoa; Nematoda; Chromadorea; Rhabditida; Rhabditidae.
UUGCACUUGAUAAGUUGGAAC